Long non-coding RNA from Hemibagrus wyckioides, 2194 nucleotides. RefSeq lists it as uncharacterized. The record is from RefSeq and is a predicted model, not a curated record. The transcript has 4 exons. Lineage: Eukaryota; Metazoa; Chordata; Actinopteri; Siluriformes; Bagridae.
AGCACACCUAAGUGACUGUCCUGAACUCGACAUGGCUCUCUAGCUCAUAUCACAGCUGCUGACUGAUGAGUUAAGAGAGCAGGUUCGCGGGAAUCACUAUAAUUUCGUAAUGCUGGACUGUUGCACUUUUGACUAAUCACUAAUCAUCACUGCUCUUCCAUGACCAAUCACUGAUCAUUACUGUCUGUCCUAACCUUGCACUUCUUCUUUUUAAUACUCAGUAGACAGUAGCUAAUAAAGGCAUCUCAGGCAUCAUUGGGCAUCAAGGCAGGAUACACCCUGGACGGAGUGCCAACCCAUCGCAGGGCACACACACACUUAUUCACACACUACGGGCAAUUUAGAGACUCCAAUCAGCCUAGAAGCAUGUCUUUGGACUGUGAGAGGAAACUGGCGCACCCAGAGGAAACCCACCAAGCACAGGGAGAACAUGCAAACUCCACACACACAGUGGGCGGGAGAGAGAGACUCGAACCCAGGACGCGUGAGGUGAGCAUGCUAACCACUAAGCCACCGUGCCGCCUUCACAGUAUUAUAUAACACAAUUUUCGGCAGAUGGUCAUAAUGUUAUGCCUGAUCAGUGCAUCCUUCGAUUAUAUCCUUCUUCAGAUACCCUAGUUGGUCAUUUGAUGUGUUUUAUGUGCUAAUGAUAACUAAAUUAAUAUGCAAAUGAAUUUAUGACAUCAUAUAUGCUCUGAAAAGAAUUGUGUGUGUGUGUGUGUGUGUGUGUGUGUUGCCCUGAGAUGGACUGGUAUCCCAUGCAGGUUGUAUUCCCAAAUCUCACCCAGUGAUCCCGGGACAGGCUCGGAUCCACAUGGGUACUUUUGAGGUUAUGGUUUCAGAUGUACUCAAUAUUUUUCUUGGGACAUUCAUUAAUAAUUAAGGAAUGCACAAGCUUCAUCCAAUCACAGAGCUCCAAAUCUCUGCCUUGCUUACAGCUGACAGACCUUUCUUAAAAUAUAAACAUGUCAGUACAUUGCUUUCCAACGCGUUUCUAUAAUAACUGAAUAAUAAGAACAGAAAUCCUGAUCUCCAUUCCCUUCAUUCCCUUUAUUAAGACUCCACACAGUUUGUGAAGCUUAUUCUCUGAUUUUUUUUCCCUCUGGUUAAAUACUCAGUGUGAACCAUCAGCAGCACGCGCGCGCCGGAGACGUUACUUAUAUUGACUUGGCCGCGUCCCAAACCGCAUACCGUCUUAAUUAGUGUGUCAAAUUUGCACAUUAUUACUUAUAUCGUCACUAUUUUUGACACACUGUUUAGUAAGUAACGUGCGGUUUUGGCCCUAGUUUUCCGUAUGCUUUGAAGUGACAGGUGGAUUGUUGCUCUGUGGUUGGAUGAGUCGCGCGAGACUUGUGUUUUUGCGAUUGGACGAACACGCACGCGCCUGUACAACACGCACGAGCUUUCUGCUAGGGUGUUGGUGACGUAAACCGAGAAAUAGCUCGAGGCGCAACGUUUGUAUUUCGAUGUACAGAAAAGCCAAUUAGCUAAACUGUUCACUCAUUUUUACCAGAGAAAUAUCAUUUAUACGGAAACUAUUGCGUUAUGGUUUCUAAAGAAAAAUCUUGUUUGCAACGACAAAAGGGAACGAACGAGAAAUGUAAAAGGAAUUCCGGACGGAAAUUAAAAACAAAGAUGGCGGCUUGUAAAUAUUUUCCGUCGUUGUCAAUUAGUCCAGAAAUUUCUGUGACUGGACAAAGAGACGCAAAACAAAGCUUCGGGUUUAGUUCUUCAUUAAAAAUGAAAGAAAAGACUUCUCAGAGGAAUGAUACACUGGUCUCAACUCACAAGAAAAUACAACAGAGUAAAGAUACCUCUGUCUAUACACAAGAUGCUGGGCCCUGUCAUUUCCAGGAUGAAGAAAAUGCAUAAGGACCACUGAAGAAUGCCCCAGCAGGUAGAAAAGAGAAACAAACUCAGUGUGAAGUGAAACAGAGUGUGCUGAAGACAAUAUCCAGGAUGCUGGAGGAGAACAGGAUCAUCAGAGAGCAGUGGAGCAGUUUAUGAGGUGAACCUUACAUAUUAAAUGACACAAAUCCAAAUCUUUAUAUAACCAACUAUACAAGUGGAAGCAUUGCAGUAUGCCGGAAUUGCAAACAAUUGCAAAAGAAAAUGUAAGCCCACACUCUGCAUGAUAUAAAAAGCAGAACGCUUUGGACCUUUCCAUGCAACUGCGUUGGGAAAUUGGUGUCAA